RNAcentral lists this ribosomal RNA (497 nucleotides) under uncultured bacterium. RNAcentral's name for it is "partial 16S ribosomal RNA". It matches the Rfam family "Bacterial small subunit ribosomal RNA", at positions 28 to 507 of the family's 1533-position model. The record is from RNAcentral.
GAUGAACGCUGGCGGCGUGCCUAACACAUGCAAGUCGAACGAACGUACGAGAAUCUUGCUUCUCUGAUGUUAGCGGCGGACGGGUCAUUCAUUCGUGGUUAACCUACCUCUAAGACUGGGAUAACUUCAGCAAACCGGAUCUCCUACCGGACAAUAUUUUGAACCGCAUGGUUCACACGUCUAAGCCGGUCUUGCUGUCACUUAUUGAUGGAUCCGCGCUGCAUUAGCUAGUUGGUAAGGUAACGGCUUACCAAGGCUACGAUGGAUAGCCGACCUGACAGGGUGAACAGCCACACGGGAACUGAGACACGGUCCAGACUCCGACGGGAGGCAGCAGUAGGGAAUCUUCCGCAAUGGGCGAAAGCCUGACGGAGCAACGCCGGGGGAGUGAUGAAGGACUUCGGAUCGUAAAACGCUGUUAGUAGGGAAGAACAUAAGUGUAAGUAACGGUGCAGAUCAUGACGGUACCUGAACAGAAAGCCACGGCUAACUACGUG